RNAcentral lists this ribosomal RNA (498 nucleotides) under uncultured bacterium. Its description in RNAcentral is "bacterial SSU rRNA". It matches the Rfam family "Bacterial small subunit ribosomal RNA", at positions 34 to 518 of the family's 1533-position model. The record is from RNAcentral.
CGCUGGCGGCGCACAUAAGACAUGCAAGUCGAACGGAAGUCGUUAAAAAUGGAUUGAAGAUUAUCAGAUUGAAAUUUUAACAAUGGCUUAGUGGCGGACUGGUGAGUAACACGUAAGCAACCUGCCUAUUAGAGGGGAAUAACAGUGAGAAAUCAUUGCUAAUACCGCAUAAGCUGAUAAUAUCGCAUGAUAUAGUCAGAAAAGGAGCAAUCCGCUAAUAGAUGGGCUUGCGGCUGAUUAGCUAGUUGGUGGGGUAACGGCCUACCAAGGCGACGAUCAGUAGCCGAGUUGAGAGACUCUACGGCCACAUUGGGACUGAGAUACGGCCCAGACUCCUACGGGAGGCAGCAGUCGGGAAUAUUGCGCAAUGGAGGAAACUCUGACGCAGUGACGCCGCGUAUAGGAUGAAGGUUUUCGGAUUGUAAACUAUUGUCGUUAGGGAAGAAAUUUGACAGUACCUAAGGAGGAAGCUCCGGCUAACUAUGUGCCAGCCGCCGC